CGGGGCAUGGCUCAGCUUGGUAGAGCGCUGCGUUCGGGACGCAGAGGUCGCAGGUUCGAAUCCUGUUGCCCCGA
RNAcentral lists this transfer RNA (74 nucleotides) under Butyrivibrio sp. RNAcentral's name for it is "tRNA-Pro". It matches the Rfam family "tRNA". From Rfam's summary of the family: Transfer RNA (tRNA) molecules are approximately 80 nucleotides in length. Their secondary structure includes four short double-helical elements and three loops (D, anti-codon, and T loops). Further hydrogen bonds mediate the characteristic L-shaped molecular structure. tRNAs have two regions of fundamental functional importance: the anti-codon, which is responsible for specific mRNA codon recognition, and the 3' end, to which the tRNAs corresponding amino acid is attached (by aminoacyl-tRNA synthetases). tRNAs cope with the degeneracy of the genetic code in two manners: having more than one tRNA (with a specific anti-codon) for a particular amino acid; and 'wobble' base-pairing, i.e. permitting non-standard base-pairing at the 3rd anti-codon position. Lineage: Bacteria; Bacillati; Bacillota; Clostridia; Lachnospirales; Lachnospiraceae. The record is from RNAcentral. RNAcentral also lists the same sequence under 3 other names.